CGCGUGCACGGCCCGUUCGUGUCGGACGAGGAAGUCGAGAAGAUCGUCCGUCAUCUCAAGUCGCAGGGUCAGCCUGAAUACCUCGAGGCGGUCACCGCGGAAGAGGAAACCGACGAGGACGGCAACGCCGUAUUCGACGGCACGAGCAUGGGCGCCAACGGCGGCGAAGGCGACCUGUUCUCGCAGGCCGUUGCGAUCGUCA
RNAcentral lists this unclassified non-coding RNA (202 nucleotides) under Hevea brasiliensis (rubber tree). The record is from RNAcentral. Lineage: Eukaryota; Viridiplantae; Streptophyta; Magnoliopsida; Malpighiales; Euphorbiaceae.